UGGCGCUACGGGAGGCAGCAGUGGGGAAUAUUGGGCAAUGGGCGCAAGCCUGACCCAGCAACGCCGCGUGAAGGAAGAAGGCUUUCGGGUUGUAAACUUCUUUUCUCAGGGACGAAGAAAGUGACGGUACCUGAGGAAUAAGCCACGGCUAACUACGUGCCAGCAGCCGCGGUAAUACGUAGGUGGCAAGCGUUAUCCGGAUUUAUUGGGUGUAAAGGGCGUGUAGGCGGGAGCGCAAGUCAGAUGUGAAAACUCAGGGGUCAACCCUGAGCCUGCAUUUGAAACUGUGUUUCUUGAGGGGUGGG
This 305-nucleotide ribosomal RNA is filed under the name uncultured bacterium. RNAcentral describes it as "bacterial SSU rRNA". It matches the Rfam family "Bacterial small subunit ribosomal RNA", at positions 333 to 653 of the family's 1533-position model. The record is from RNAcentral.